This 116-nucleotide ribosomal RNA is filed under the name Sinocyclocheilus rhinocerous. The record is from RNAcentral. Lineage: Eukaryota; Metazoa; Chordata; Actinopteri; Cypriniformes; Cyprinidae.
GCCACAGCCAUAUCACCCUGCAGCCCAAGACUGGUUGCCCACUAAAGCUAAGCAGGGUUGAGCCUGGUCAGUACCUGGAUGGGAGACCUCCUGGGAAAACUAGGUUGCUGUUGGCA